AACGAACGCUGGCGGCAUGCCUAACACAUGCAAGUCGAACGAAGGCUUCGGCCUUAGUGGCGCACGGGUUCGUAACGCGUGGGAAUCUGCCCUUGUGUUCGGAAUACCAGCUGGAAACGGCUGCUAUUGCGGAAGGGGAACUAAAGCCCAAAGAUUUAUUGCCAGAGGUUGAGCCCGAGUUGGAUUCGGUGGUUGGGAGGGUAAUGGCAUCCCACGCGCUCGAUCCUUAGCUGGUUAGAGAGAAUGGUCAGCCACACUGGGACUCAGACACGGCCCAGAAUCCUACGGGAGGGAGCAGAGGGGAAUAUAGGACAAUGGGCGCAAGCCUGAUCGAGCACUGCCGGGUGAGUGAUGAUGGCAGUAGGGAUGAAAAGCUCUAUUAACCGGGAAGAUAAUGACGGUACCGGGAGAAUAAGCCCCGGCUAACUACGUG
Molecule: ribosomal RNA, 433 nt
Filed under: uncultured bacterium
Lineage: Bacteria
Description: partial 16S ribosomal RNA
Rfam family: Bacterial small subunit ribosomal RNA
Source: RNAcentral